RNAcentral lists this ribosomal RNA (497 nucleotides) under uncultured bacterium. RNAcentral's name for it is "partial 16S ribosomal RNA". It matches the Rfam family "Bacterial small subunit ribosomal RNA", at positions 28 to 507 of the family's 1533-position model. The record is from RNAcentral.
GAUGAACGCUGGCGGCGUGCCUAAUACAUGCAAGUCGAGCGAACGGACGAGAAGCUUGCUUCUCUGAUGUUAGCGGCGGACGGGUGAGUAAAACGUGGAUAACCUACCUAUAAGACUGGGAUAACUUCGGGAAACCGGAGCUAAAACCGGAUAAUAUUUUGAACCGCAUGGUUCAAAAGUGAAAGACGGUCUUGCUGUCACUUAUAGAUGGAUCCGCGCUGCAUUAGCUAGUUGGUAAGGUAACGGCUUACCAAGGCAACGAUGCAUAGCCGACCUGAGAGAGUGAUCGGCCACACUGGAACUGAGACACGGUCCAGACUCCUACGGGAGGCAGCAGUAGGGAAUCUUCCGCAAUGGGCGAAAGCCUGACGGAGCAACGCCGCGUGAGUGAUGAAGGUCUUCGGAUCGUAAAACUCUGUUAUUAGGGAAGAACAUAUGUGUAAGUAACUGUGCACAUCUUGACGGUACCUAAUCAGAAAGCCACGGCUAACUACGUG